GAUGAACGCUGGCGGUAUGCUUAACACAUGCAAGUCGAACGGACUCUUCGGAGUUAGUUGCGGACGGGUGAGGAACGCGUGAGAAUCUGGCUUUGGGUUCGGGACAACCACUGGAAACGGUGGCUAAUACCGGAUGUGCCGAGAGGUAAAAGAGAAAUUGCCUGAAGAUGAGCUCGCGUCUGAUUAGCUAGUUGGUGAGGUAAAGGCUCACCAAGGCAGCGAUCAGUAGCUGGUCUGAGAGGAUGACCAGCCACACUGGGACUGAGACACGGCACAGACUCCUACGGGAGGCGGCAGUGGGGAAUUUUCCGCAAUGGGCGAAAGCCUGACGGAGCAAUACCGCGUGAGGGAAGAAGGCUCUUGGGUUGUAAACCUCUUUUCUUAGGGAAGAACAAAAUGACGGUACCUAAGGAAUCAGCAUCGGCUAACUCCGUG
This 435-nucleotide ribosomal RNA is filed under the name uncultured bacterium. Its description in RNAcentral is "partial 16S ribosomal RNA". It matches the Rfam family "Bacterial small subunit ribosomal RNA", at positions 28 to 507 of the family's 1533-position model. The record is from RNAcentral.